RNAcentral lists this non-coding RNA (22 nucleotides) under Arabidopsis thaliana (thale cress). Lineage: Eukaryota; Viridiplantae; Streptophyta; Magnoliopsida; Brassicales; Brassicaceae. The record is from RNAcentral.
CCGUCGAUCCUUCUCAGAUGCA